CAUGGGCCUUAGGUGGAGCAACUUCUACUUCCUCGAUGGAAAGAGGCUUACCGGCCUCCCAGGCCACAGCAGCCUUGCAUUUGAUCACCUGAGGAUGAAUUGAGAAGAUAUCAGAAGAGAUGCUUUGGUGAGGGCAAAUUUCGCUGCAAACUCACUUUCCCAGUCGUGUCCAUGACUUUCUUCCACCACGAGAGGAAAGGAAGGAGGGGUGUAGCAAACUGAAGACCUCUUUCUUUAACCAAUGAGAGACCACGAUGUGACUACGCUCGAGCAAAGUUCGUUGUUUUUCUCAGCGCAAGCAGCGCUUUUGCAUUUUAUUGGUCUUUAGCUAAUCGAUGUAUCUUUUGAAUUGUUCAAAUAUAAAUCAAAGAGAAACUCUCCCUACAACUAGAAAUAGGCCGUCAAAGCAUUUCUGAUACAUUUACACUACAAAUAUGUAGUUAGUUAUUAUGAAUACUAUAUAUAAAGACAUGUUAAAACAAACUUUUCUCUCUCUCUUUUAAAAAACAAGAACCAUGAUUUGUUUUUAUUAAAGGGAGAUUGCCAGACAUCUUACAAAAUAUUACUGGACACAUAGGCUGGAAAUUAAACUUUACGCCUUGGCAAAUCAUAAGUUACAUAUAUAUAUAUAUAUAUAUAUUAUAUAUUUUUUUUCAUUGU
This is a long non-coding RNA of Puntigrus tetrazona (Sumatra barb), 660 nucleotides long. RefSeq lists it as uncharacterized. The transcript has 2 exons. The record is from RefSeq and is a predicted model, not a curated record. Lineage: Eukaryota; Metazoa; Chordata; Actinopteri; Cypriniformes; Cyprinidae.